This 405-nucleotide small RNA is filed under the name Pan troglodytes (chimpanzee). Its description in RNAcentral is "retained intron". Lineage: Eukaryota; Metazoa; Chordata; Mammalia; Primates; Hominidae. The record is from RNAcentral.
AUAGUUGUGGGGUGCUUUUUAUGUGUGUCUGUUGGAAGUGUGUUGUAUGAUGGGUGUCGACGUCAUAAGGUUCAGGUCUCCUAACAGCCUGCUGAUGCACUUUAGGCUCGACUGUGCAAUAACAUGCAGAAAGCUCGGGAACUCUGGGAUAGCAUCAUGACCAGAGGAAAUGCCAAGUACGCCAACAUGUGGCUAGAGUAUUACAACCUGGAAAGAGCGCAUGGUGACACCCAGCACUGCCGGAAGGCUCUGCACCGGGCCGUCCAGUGCACCAGUGACUACCCAGAGCACGUCUGCGAAGUGUUACUCACCAUGGAGAGGACAGAAGGUUCUUUAGAAGAUUGGGAUAUAGCUGUUCAGAAAACUGAAACCCGAUUAGCUCGUGUCAAUGAGCAGAGAAUGAAG